This 785-nucleotide ribosomal RNA is filed under the name Bacillus sp. (in: firmicutes). Its description in RNAcentral is "bacterial SSU rRNA". It matches the Rfam family "Bacterial small subunit ribosomal RNA", at positions 23 to 789 of the family's 1533-position model. Lineage: Bacteria; Bacillati; Bacillota; Bacilli; Caryophanales; Bacillaceae. The record is from RNAcentral.
CUCAGGAUGAACGCUGGCGGCGUGCCUAAUACAUGCAAGUCGAGCGAACUGAUUAGAAGCUUGCUUCUAUGACGUUAGCGGCGGACGGGUGAGUAACACGUGGGCAACCUGCCUGUAAGACUGGGAUAACUUCGGGAAACCGAAGCUAAUACCGGAUAGGAUCUUCUCCUUCAUGGGAGAUGAUUGAAAGAUGGUUUCGGCUAUCACUUACAGAUGGGCCCGCGGUGCAUUAGCUAGUUGGUGAGGUAACGGCUCACCAAGGCAACGAUGCAUAGCCGACCUGAGAGGGUGAUCGGCCACACUGGGACUGAGACACGGCCCAGACUCCUACGGGAGGCAGCAGUAGGGAAUCUUCCGCAAUGGACGAAAGUCUGACGGAGCAACGCCGCGUGAGUGAUGAAGGCUUUCGGGUCGUAAAACUCUGUUGUUAGGGAAGAACAAGUACGAGAGUAACUGCUCGUACCUUGACGGUACCUAACCAGAAAGCCACGGCUAACUACGUGCCAGCAGCCGCGGUAAUACGUAGGUGGCAAGCGUUAUCCGGAAUUAUUGGGCGUAAAGCGCGCGCAGGCGGUUUCUUAAGUCUGAUGUGAAAGCCCACGGCUCAACCGUGGAGGGUCAUUGGAAACUGGGGAACUUGAGUGCAGAAGAGAAAAGCGGAAUUCCACGUGUAGCGGUGAAAUGCGUAGAGAUGUGGAGGAACACCAGUGGCGAAGGCGGCUUUUUGGUCUGUAACUGACGCUGAGGCGCGAAAGCGUGGGGAGCAAACAGGAUUAGAUACCCUG